Molecule: long non-coding RNA, 547 nt
Organism: Pantherophis guttatus
Lineage: Eukaryota; Metazoa; Chordata; Lepidosauria; Squamata; Colubridae
Source: RefSeq, a predicted model, not a curated record
CUCUCUCUCUCUCUCUCUCAUAAAUAGGCCUGGUAGUUUGGAUGCCAGCUAGGGGGUGACCCUCCCCAAAAGAGGCAUGGGUGAGCUGCUGUGGGUUCGCGGGGGUUCGGGAGAACCUCUAGCUAAGAUUCUGUGCAGUUCGAGAGAACCCCCAAAUUCCAUUCCUGGCUGGCCCCUUCCACCCCGCCCAGGAGUCCCCACGUGGCCCGUUUUGGAUGCAGUGAUGUUCCGUGACCAGAAACGGCCAGGGAGAGCUCCCAACGGUUCACUGAUCUAGAACAAAAUGGACAGGAAGCCGAGAUUCCGGUCUUCUCCUUGUUGCCUCGGGGAGAUCCAGUGGGUCACCCUGAGUGACUUCUAAGGUCCUGCCCCUUGAAUCAAAGUGAGCAGAGAAUAUUUCCCAGGAGGAAAGCCUGUCUUGUGUUCUCAGCAUCAAAUAAAUAAAUAAAUAAAUAAAAAUGGAAAGAAAUCCAAUUCGGAAGGGUCCUUGCUGCUCUUUGAGCUCGGCUGUUUCCAUGCAGACAUUCCGUUAUCCGAGUAGGUAACA